Molecule: non-coding RNA, 219 nt
Organism: Vicia faba (fava bean)
Lineage: Eukaryota; Viridiplantae; Streptophyta; Magnoliopsida; Fabales; Fabaceae
Source: the annotation of a GenBank genome assembly
AUGCAGGUUUUGAUAGUGUUUCUAAAUGAUUCUUGGUGUGUAUAUCCCUGUGAUUCUUAUGUUUUUCUAUGUAUGAAGUUGGAGCAUUUUUUGUAUGAGGUUUUUUUUGUGUUCUCUCCCCUGCGUAUUGAAUCAAUUUUAAGACCUCCUUUCUCUGUUAUGUUUUUUUUUCUAUUUUAUCUAUCAGUAAAAUUUUUCUCUGUUUUUCUCUAUCAGUAA